Molecule: ribosomal RNA, 227 nt
Filed under: uncultured bacterium
Lineage: Bacteria
Description: partial 16S ribosomal RNA
Rfam family: Bacterial small subunit ribosomal RNA
Source: RNAcentral
UAACGCGUAGUUAACCUACCCUGAAGCCUGGAAUAACCUCUCGAAAGGGGGGCUAAUACCGGAUAACAAUGGAUGCCUGGUGGCAACUAUUUGAAAGAUUUAUCACUUCAGGAUGGGACUGCGUACCAUUAGUUUGUUGGUGGGGUAAAGGCCUACCAAGACUUCGAUGGUUAGCGGGUCUGAGAGGAUGAUCCGCCACACUGGAACUGAGACACGGUCCAGACUCC